Long non-coding RNA from Camellia sinensis, 577 nucleotides. RefSeq lists it as uncharacterized. Lineage: Eukaryota; Viridiplantae; Streptophyta; Magnoliopsida; Ericales; Theaceae. The record is from RefSeq and is a predicted model, not a curated record.
UUCUAGGGGUCUCCGCCCUCUGGGGGCUAGGAGGAGGAGGAGGAGGAGGAGGAAGAAGAAGAAGAAGAUGAUGAUGAUGAUGCGUACGGGUAUUAUAUACAUGGAUGGCUGCUUCGACAUGAUGCAUUGCACUACUGCCCAAUUGGUCGUUGGCGUCCUCAGCGAUCCCCAAUUUACUAUUGCCUAACAAACAGAGGCCCUCCCAAACGCUAUGAAAGCAAGGCAGAAAGCGACAGAAGGUAUUACGAGGAUAACAAGGAUGUCACUGGUGAUUAACUGAUGCUGGAAGAAGGUAUGGUGUAAUGCCCAUUCAUGGGCAGUCUUUUGAGUGCCUAUUGCAUUAGUUUUACUGAGAUGAAUGGAUUUAUUAUACUACUUACUUAGCAUGAUACAUAUAGAUUUCUCAAUAGGGUGGGUGUGACAUGUUUGAGACCCAAUUUUGAAGAAUAGGCCUAGUUAUGGAGCAAAUAUCUGUAUUCUAUUUGUAUUCGUUGGACUCCUUUCUUGGAAUCGAGUACGAGAUCACAAACAACUUCUGCAUUCUAAUAAAAAAAAACAAAGAAGCAUGUUCAUGAUA